CAGGAGCAACCACCUGCUCUUUCUACCCCCUCGGAGACGCUACGCUUUUGGACUAAAUCCAAACUCUUUGAAAUCUUGUCUCGGCAAAGACUUGCAGUGUUGAGAGGAGAAACGAUUUUCCACCUAAGGGUUGAGGAGUCUCCCUACUGUACAUCUACUGUAGUGCUCAGCAGACAAGGAUUUAUGAACCCCGUCGUCUUUUCAAACUUGAAAACAAAGGUUCAUAUGUGGCCUAAGCUAUAAGUUCAACUACGGUCAAUACGUCCCGGGACACAGUAACGCGCACACCGUUUCCCGAAGCACGAAUAAAAUAAAAUCCGGAGCCUAUUAAAGAAUUAGGAGGAUGCUGUCAAACUCCAUUUAUGGUUCUGCCUGAGGUGAAACACGUUUACAAGGGGGUCCAUUUGUUGUUCCUUACCUUCGAAGGAGAGGAAGACUCUGGGCAGAGGCUGCGGGAGGCUACAGACCCCAGCGGAGAAGAGCGAGACGGUCAGGAGGGAAAGCACAACAGCCAG
This is a long non-coding RNA of Betta splendens (Siamese fighting fish), 515 nucleotides long. RefSeq lists it as uncharacterized. The transcript has 3 exons. Lineage: Eukaryota; Metazoa; Chordata; Actinopteri; Anabantiformes; Osphronemidae. The record is from RefSeq and is a predicted model, not a curated record.